RNAcentral lists this ribosomal RNA (494 nucleotides) under uncultured bacterium. Its description in RNAcentral is "partial 16S ribosomal RNA". It matches the Rfam family "Bacterial small subunit ribosomal RNA", at positions 28 to 507 of the family's 1533-position model. The record is from RNAcentral.
GACGAACGCUGGCGGCGUGCUUAACACAUGCAAGUCGAACGGUGAAGCGCCUUCCUUUUUGGUGGGUGUGGAUGAGUGGCGAACGGGUGAGUAACACGUGAGUAACCUGCCCCCUUCUUCGGGAUAACCGCAUGAAAGUGUGGCUAAUACGGGAUAUUCUGGGUCUGUCGCAUGAUGGGUCUGGGAAAGUUAUUGUUUCGGUGGGGGAUGGGCUCGCGGCCUAUCAGCUUGUUGGUGGGGUGAUGGCCUACCAAGGCGGUGACGGGUAGCCGGCCUGAGAGGGUGGACGGUCACACUGGGACUGAGACACGGCCCAGACUCCUACGGGAGGCAGCAGUGGGGAAUAUUGCACAAUGGGCGCAAGCCUGAUGCAGCGACGCCGCGUGAGGGAUGGAGGCCUUCGGGUUGUGAACCUCUUUCGCCAGUGAAGCAGGCCUGCCUCGUUUGUGGGUGGGUUGACGGUAGCUGGAUAAGAAGCGCCGGCUAACUACGUG